UCACCAGCUUGUAAUUACUUUUCACACCUUGGUUACAUCUUGAUGGUCCUCCUUGAGCCAAGUCUUUGUCUUAUGCUAAUGACCUUAUGCUUUGCUAAUA
This is a long non-coding RNA of Sapajus apella (tufted capuchin), 100 nucleotides long. RefSeq lists it as uncharacterized. The transcript has 3 exons. Lineage: Eukaryota; Metazoa; Chordata; Mammalia; Primates; Cebidae. The record is from RefSeq and is a predicted model, not a curated record.